This 253-nucleotide ribosomal RNA is filed under the name uncultured bacterium. RNAcentral describes it as "partial 16S ribosomal RNA". It matches the Rfam family "Bacterial small subunit ribosomal RNA", at positions 524 to 776 of the family's 1533-position model. The record is from RNAcentral.
UACGGAGGGGGCUAGCGUUGUUCGGAAUUACUGGGCGUAAAGGGCGCGUAGGCGGCCCGUCAAGUCCCGUGUGAAAGCCCCCGGCUCAACCGGGGAACGGCGCGGGAAACUAGCAGGCUUGAGUUCGGGAGAGGGAAGCGGAAUUCCGGGUGUAGCGGUGAAAUGCGCAGAUAUCCGGAGGAACACCGGUGGCGAAGGCGGCUUCCUGGACCGACACUGACGCUGAGGCGCGAAAGCUAGGGGAGCAAACGGG